CUCCUCUCCCUGAAGGCGCAACUGCUGCCUCUCUCACCUAGGUUUUCGAAGAUUGUAGCUGGGAGGAGUGGCGGGGCGUGUGCAGCGCAUGCGCGUACCGGCAUGUUUUAUCCGGAGGUGCCACCCGUGCAGUGGACGGGUAAGGUGAGGGGCCAGCCUGAGGGCGGGACCGUGGUAGCAGAGUUUCGGAACCCAGCCCAACUGGAGACACGCGCAGCCAGUCAUCCUGCAAGUCCUGGCCCCCUUCUGUGAGUUGUGAUCCCAACAUGACUUUCAUAUUCACCAUCUUUGCAAUACUGUCUUGUCCACCUGGGACCUGGGAGGUGGUCUAUGCCAUACACCAAGACUGCCUUAUAGUAAAUGCUCAAGAAAUAUUUGUGGAAUUAAGAAAUAAACUAUUUAUUUGCUUUAAGAAGAAUCUACAUAAUUCUGUAAAUACAAGGUUUGCAAAGACCACAGCAGAGACUGAGUGAUAUCUGAGUGAGAGAGGCAUCUUGCUCCCAGCGUCACCAGAUUGCAGACUCUCUACUCCGGGUGCUCAGAGCCCAUGGUCCAGGGCAUGCAAACUGUGCGGUGCACACAGGAAAUUAGGGACCCGCACCUUGGCUUAAAGCUCUGCUCUUACUUGCUUAAAAUUCUUCAUGAUUCAUAAACAAAAGGACUGAAUUUUAUUUUGCACUGGGCUACAGAAAUUAUGUAGUCUGUCUUUAAACUCAGACUCAGUUGGGAGAGCUCUCCCACGGUGAGCUUAACUAUCGCGCUCUACUGACUAGGUCAAAGAGAAACAUCUUGCUGGACAAAUCGUGUGCUCUCUGAGAAAGAACAAUGUUUGAGACAUUGCUCCCAUCGUGCAAAGCUGAGAAGUUUGCAGUCGAGUCAGCCUGGGUCACCUGGUUUUACUUGAGAUGAGAAAAUGCAAGUCCAGGAAGGACCGAAUGACUUGCGUAAAGCCAUACAGGUAGAAUGUGGCAGAGAUGGAAUUUGAAACCCAACUGAGUGAGCACCCAGAGCCUGCAGCUUUGAUCACCCGAGAUUGUGUGAGGUGCAUGGGAUUGUUUCUAGGGAGUGAGCAAAUUGGAAUUUUAAUAACGUGGGAGAUAAAUUUAGCUUCUUCUUCUUUUUUUUUUUUAGCUGAGCCAUCCUGCCACCUGUUUGCAGCUCAGUGUAAAUUUAGCUUCUUAAACAGAAGGUUUGAGAUUAUAUAUAUAUAAUCACAAAGGAAAGAAAAUAUUCUUAACAAAUUUAGUAUGAUUCAUCCUAAAUGGAGAAGUCACCAAGACAGUGACUAAGCAGGAAAGCAUAUCUUUAUUUUCCAGGUUAUAUAAAAUAAACAGAAAGAAUGCUGGCUUCAAGUUUCUAUGCUGUACAGUGAGGACAGGAGCCUGUCAAUGUCAUUUGCAGCCCUGAAAUUUUGUGGCUUCCAGACCAUUUGCUGCAAAGUGAACAUCUUUGAUUUUCUAAGGCAAAUGCCUGUAAAAUUAGAAAAGUGAACAUUUAGUUUUAACUUAAAUGCUUUAAGUAUAAAUGUGCUUAUUUAAAUAAAUAUACACAUCUGUACUAGACUUACUAGGGUGAUCAUUUUGUAAG
Long non-coding RNA from Hipposideros armiger (great roundleaf bat), 1587 nucleotides. RefSeq lists it as uncharacterized. The transcript has 5 exons. NCBI's taxonomy places the organism in Eukaryota, Metazoa, Chordata, Mammalia, Chiroptera, Hipposideridae. The record is from RefSeq and is a predicted model, not a curated record.